RNAcentral lists this transfer-messenger RNA (368 nucleotides) under Cohaesibacteraceae bacterium. It matches the Rfam family "Alphaproteobacteria transfer-messenger RNA". Rfam says of the family: Bacterial tmRNA, also known as 10Sa RNA or SsrA, is named for its dual tRNA and mRNA-like properties. The record is from RNAcentral. Lineage: Bacteria; Pseudomonadati; Pseudomonadota; Alphaproteobacteria; Hyphomicrobiales; Cohaesibacteraceae.
UGCCUUUCCAACGCCCCGGUUGAUCCCUAUAUUUAAAGAGCCAGCUUGCUGGAUAUGGUGAUAAACUGUCUGUGUAAUAAACCAUUCGGACCCGGGGGCGGUACCCGGCGCCUCCACCAGAGUGGAUCAUGUUUGCAAUCAUGGUCCAUUCCGGCGGGGGCGAAAUAGGAUCGACGAGGGCGUAAAGACAGAACUUUUACUCGGCAUGGUACCACCGAUAUCGGACUAUUUUAGUAGUUGCAAAUGACAACAACUAUGCUGAGGCACGUCUCGCUGCUUAACGCAGUGCGAUAGCUUCAAUUUAAGUCCAGUCCUGUUUGCAUGGGGUUGGCGGGGUUCGGGAGCACCUGGCAACAGAAGCUCCUACU